AGUAUCUGGGCUCAGGCGGGACCACC
RNAcentral lists this ribosomal RNA (26 nucleotides) under Strombidium sp. RNAcentral's name for it is "partial large subunit ribosomal RNA". The record is from RNAcentral. Lineage: Eukaryota; Ciliophora; Spirotrichea; Strombidiidae.